RNAcentral lists this ribosomal RNA (505 nucleotides) under uncultured bacterium. RNAcentral's name for it is "partial 16S ribosomal RNA". It matches the Rfam family "Bacterial small subunit ribosomal RNA", at positions 28 to 507 of the family's 1533-position model. The record is from RNAcentral.
GACGAACGCUGGCGGCGUGCCUAAUACAUGCAAGUCGGACGCACAGUUUAUACCGUAGCUUGCUACACCAUAGACUGUGAGUUGCGAACGGGUGAGUAACGCAUAGGUAACCUGCCUGGUAGCGGGGGAUAACUAUUGGAAACGAUAGCUAAUACCGCAUAAUAUUGAUUAUUGCAUGAUAAUUGAUUGAAAGAUGCUAUUGCAUCACUACCAGAUGGACCUGCGUUGUAUUAGCUAGUAGGUGAGGUAACGGCUCACCUAGGCGACGAUACAUAGCCGACCUGGGAGGGGGAUCGGCCACACUGGGACUGGGACACGGCCCAGACUCCUGCGGGAGGCAGCAGUAGGGAAUCUUCGGCAAUGGACGAAAGUCUGACCGAGCAACGCCGCGUGAGUGAAGAAGGUUUUCGGAUCGUAAAGCUCUGUUGUAAGAGAAGAACGGGUGUGAGAGUGGAAAGUUCACACUGUGAUGGUAUCUUACCAGAAAGGGACGGCUAACUACGUG